GGGUCGGUAGCUCAGUUGGUAGAGCAACGGACUGAAAAUCCGUGUGUCGGCGGUUCGAUCCCGCCCCUGCCCA
RNAcentral lists this transfer RNA (73 nucleotides) under Planctomycetaceae bacterium. Its description in RNAcentral is "tRNA-Phe". It matches the Rfam family "tRNA". From Rfam's summary of the family: Transfer RNA (tRNA) molecules are approximately 80 nucleotides in length. The record is from RNAcentral. Lineage: Bacteria; Pseudomonadati; Planctomycetota; Planctomycetia; Planctomycetales; Planctomycetaceae. RNAcentral also lists the same sequence under 2 other names.